UGCAGCGCCUCCCAGGAAAUUUCCUCAG
RNAcentral lists this non-coding RNA (28 nucleotides) under Rattus norvegicus (Norway rat). Lineage: Eukaryota; Metazoa; Chordata; Mammalia; Rodentia; Muridae. The record is from RNAcentral.